UCUCUGCGUGGUCUCAUAAACCUUCCUUUCACUUCCUCUAUGGCUGGAAAAGAGAAGAUUCCUGGCAGAAAACACUGUAGGAUUGAGUGAAGAACCAAGCAGUUCAACAGCAGGGACUGAAGUGAGAUGGGAGAAUGGAGGAAUAUGCUGAAAAUACAGAGGUUUCUAUGUACUUCUGAUGGCAAAAGAUCUUGUCAAGUAGCCAGUUUACACUAGCAAUUUGUUGUGAAAACACAACCCAAAUGGUCAGCAGGAUCCUGUGAAUCUGGAUAUUUUCACUAGCAAGCAGCAAAAUCUAUACACCAGACCAUCAUUGCAUCACAUGCAUUUUGCAGUACAACCAUAACUGUUUAUGUGACCUGCCUGAUUUUGGUGCACUUGUCUCACAUUUU
This 392-nucleotide long non-coding RNA is filed under the name Salvator merianae (Argentine black and white tegu). RNAcentral describes it as "lncRNA (ENSSMRG00000003376.1)". The record is from RNAcentral. Lineage: Eukaryota; Metazoa; Chordata; Lepidosauria; Squamata; Teiidae.